GUUUGCUUUUACUGCAAUAAAAUACACAUUUGUAUUCAGCAAAGUCUCACGUGUAAGACAGUACCCCCUAUGUACAGAUUUUACGGCGUUUUGGGAAGUUACAGGGUCAAAUAUAACACGUUACAUUUGAAAUUGAAAUUUGCCAGAUUGGUUAUGUUGCCUUUGAGACUGUAUAGUAGCCCGGGAAUGAAAUUUACACCCAUAAUGGCAUACCAUUUGCAAUAGUAGACAACC
Pelobates cultripes (western spadefoot toad) is the source of this 234-nucleotide non-coding RNA. The record is from the annotation of a GenBank genome assembly. Lineage: Eukaryota; Metazoa; Chordata; Amphibia; Anura; Pelobatidae.